RNAcentral lists this ribosomal RNA (522 nucleotides) under uncultured Glomus. RNAcentral's name for it is "SSU rRNA". It matches the Rfam family "Eukaryotic small subunit ribosomal RNA", at positions 569 to 1092 of the family's 1831-position model. The record is from RNAcentral. Lineage: Eukaryota; Fungi; Glomeromycota; Glomeromycetes; Glomerales; Glomeraceae.
AGCAGCCGCGGUAAUUCCAGCUCCAAUAGCGUAUAUUAAAGUUGUUGCAGUUAAAAAGCUCGUAGUUGAAUUUCGGGGUUAGUAGGUUGGUCAUGCCACUGGUAUGUACUGAUCUUACUGAUUCCUCCUUCCUGAUGAACCGUAAUGCCAUUAAUUUGGUGUUGCGGGGAGACUGGACUGUUACUUUGAAAAAAUUAGAGUGUUUAAAGCAGGCUAACGCUUGAAUACAUUAGCAUGGAAUAAUGAAAUAGGACGUUCGAUCCUAUUUUGUUGGUUUCUAGGAUUGACGUAAUGAUUAAUAGGGAUAGUUGGGGGCAUUAGUAUUCAAUUGUCAGAGGUGAAAUUCUUGGAUUUAUUGAAGACUAACUACUGCGAAAGCAUUUGCCAAGGAUGUUUUCAUUAAUCAAGAACGAAAGUUAGGGGAUCGAAGACGAUCAGAUACCGUCGUAGUCUUAACCAUAAACUAUGCCGACUAGGGAUCGGAUGAUGUUAAUUUUUUAAUGACUCAUUCGGCGCCUUACG